GGUUACCUUGUUACGACUUCACCCCAGUCGCUGAUCCUACCGUGGUCCGCUGCCUCAAAAGUUAGCGCACGGCCUUCGGGUAGAACCAACUCCCAUGGUGUGACGGGCGGUGUGUACAAGGCCCGGGAACGUAUUCACCGCGUCAUGCUGUUACGCGAUUACUAGCAAUUCCAACUUCAUGCCGGCGAGUUGCAGCCGACAAUCCGAACUGAGACAGCUUUUUGGGAUUAACCCAUUGUCACUGCCAUUGUAGCACGUGUGUAGCCCACCACGUAAGGGCCAUGAGGACUUGACGUCAUCCCACCUUCCUCCGGCUUAUCACCGGCGGUUCCUCUAGAGUGCCCAGCC
This 348-nucleotide ribosomal RNA is filed under the name uncultured alpha proteobacterium DCM-FREE-17. Its description in RNAcentral is "partial 16S ribosomal RNA". Lineage: Bacteria; Pseudomonadati; Pseudomonadota; Alphaproteobacteria. The record is from RNAcentral.